RNAcentral lists this long non-coding RNA (245 nucleotides) under Homo sapiens (human). RNAcentral's name for it is "HSALNT0095345". The record is from RNAcentral. Lineage: Eukaryota; Metazoa; Chordata; Mammalia; Primates; Hominidae.
GGCGUUGGCUAACAUGCAAGACAAGCAAACUGCUCUCAGAAGAGACCUCACUUAUGCAAAGAAGGCAGCCAGAGGCAGAUGCCAAAUUCAAAGUGGGACCUGGCAAAUAUGCAUCUUCUACAGACCUGCAGAAUUAAACCCAGGGCAGGCCUCCCUGUCACACCAGCAGGAGUAGAGCAGGGGCUCCGGGUGAAGAGUUUGAUCCAAGAAGAAGAAAAGAGAACAGGAAUGAUUUAUGCAUGCCC